CUACGGGAGGCACCAGUGAGGAAUUUUGCGCAAUGGGGGAAACCCUGACGCAGCAACGCCGCGUGAGCGAAGAAGGCCUUCGGGUCGUAAAGCUCUGUCAAGUGGGAAAAAAAGCUUUAGAUUAACAGUCUAAAGAAUUGAUGGUACCACUGGAGGAAGCACCGGCUAACUCCGUGCCAGCAGCCGCGGUAAUACGGAGGGUGCAAGCGUUGUUCGGAAUUACUGGGCGUAAAGCGCGUGCAGGCGGUUUGGCAAGUCAGAUGUGAAAGCCCUGGGCUCAACCCGGGAAGUGCAUUUGAAACUGCCUUUCUUGAGUAUGGGAGAGGAGAGUGGAAUUCCCAGUGUAGAGGUGAAAUUCGUAGAUAUUGGGAGGAACACCCGUGGCGAAGGCGACUCUCUGGACCAAUACUGACGCUGAGACGCGAAAGCGUGGGGAGCAAACAGGAUUAGAUACCCGAGUAGUC
This 464-nucleotide ribosomal RNA is filed under the name uncultured bacterium. Its description in RNAcentral is "partial 16S ribosomal RNA". It matches the Rfam family "Bacterial small subunit ribosomal RNA", at positions 339 to 795 of the family's 1533-position model. The record is from RNAcentral.